RNAcentral lists this ribosomal RNA (593 nucleotides) under uncultured fungus. Its description in RNAcentral is "eukaryotic LSU rRNA". It matches the Rfam family "Eukaryotic large subunit ribosomal RNA", at positions 40 to 647 of the family's 3401-position model. The record is from RNAcentral. Lineage: Eukaryota; Fungi.
AUAUCAAUAAGCGGAGGAAAAGAAACCAACAGGGAUUGCCUUAGUAACGGCGAGUGAAGCGGCAACAGCUCAAAUUUGAAAUCUGGCUCUUUCAGAGUCCGAGUUGUAAUUUGUAGAAGAUGCUUCGGGUGUGGUACCGGUCUAAGUUCCUUGGAACAGGACGUCAUAGAGGGUGAGAAUCCCGUAUGUGACUGGUCACCUUCGCUCAUGUGAAGCUCUUUCGACGAGUCGAGUUGUUUGGGAAUGCAGCUCAAAAUGGGUGGUAAAUUUCAUCUAAAGCUAAAUAUUGGCCAGAGACCGAUAGCGCACAAGUAGAGUGAUCGAAAGAUGAAAAGCACUUUGGAAAGAGAGUUAAACAGUACGUGAAAUUGUUGAAAGGGAAGCGCUUGCAACCAGACUUGCACGUAGUUAAUCAUCCGGGGUUCUCCCCGGUGCACUUGGCUACGUUCAGGCCAGCAUCGGUUUCGGUGGUUGGAUAAAGGCCUAGGGAAUGUGGCUCUCUUCGGGGAGUGUUAUAGCCCUAGGUGCAAUGCAGCCCACUGGGACCGAGGACCGCGCUUCGGCUAGGAUGCUGGCGUAAUGGUUGUAAGCGA